RNAcentral lists this unclassified non-coding RNA (578 nucleotides) under Hevea brasiliensis (rubber tree). The record is from RNAcentral. Lineage: Eukaryota; Viridiplantae; Streptophyta; Magnoliopsida; Malpighiales; Euphorbiaceae.
GGCUUAGUUGAGUUGAGUUGUAUAAAAAAAUCUGCACAGCGCAAGGGUAUACAUCUAUUGUUUAUAUAUAAUAAUGAUUAUAAUAUUAGUUAAGGCAAUGAUUAUAUACAAAAACUAAUAAACAAAAUACAUAAUAUAGCUAUUAUAAUAGAGAUUUUACUGCUAAUGAACAAGAAAGAAAGAGGGAAAAGCAAGGAUAAAGCAUACAAAUUUUUAAAAACAAGAAGAUUGUUAGCAUGAGAAUCAAAAGGAGAUGGGUUUUUACUCAAUCAUGGCUAGGUAAUUUAGUAAUUAAAUUGAUUUAAGAUGUCUGACAUACAAGCAUCUAGCGUUCGUGAUCAAAAGGUGGAUUUUCUAGCAUUUAGUUACUUUUUUCGAAAUGUUGGUGGAUGGAUCCAUAUGCAACAAAUCCUAAGAUAAUUACCAAACGCCCCAAAUUCAGUGGUUGGGACAUCAACCACUAAAAGCUAGUCCCAACCACUGAACCAAACAGCACAUAAUCAUUUAUUUGGUAGCAGUGGUGGCAACAAGAAAGAAGAUCGUUAUAAUGGGUUGUGGUGGUAGUGGUGGUGGUGGUG